CUUUCAUGGACAGAGUCCUUCAUGGGUUUUGAGCACCUUUUGGAUUAAUGCCAGAAGAAAUCCUUCAAAACUUUGUGUCAGUCUUUCUGUUGUGGAGAUUUUUUUUUUUUCAGUCUUUUUGUCUGCCUAGCAUUUGCAUCCCCUUUCUACGUGAGAUUAAUCUUGGUGGGAGAAAGAGCAAACUUUAAACUUUAGAAACAUUAACUAUAUAAACUAUAAAAACUAAAAAUACCAGAUACGUUCUCAGCCUGAUUUGAAGCAAGGGUUUGGGCAAAUACUUCGGGCUCUCUAUAUUGGAUGCACUCAUACCAGUUUUUGAGUAGGAAGUUAGUGACACCAAAAAACACGGGAAGUGACUCAUUCUCUGAUAAAGGAAGUGGUUACAGCACAAUUGUGUUCCUGAUAGAUCAGUGACAACAUUAUCUAGGACACUCAGUGUUCUAGUUUUGUGGGGGCAGAAGUAGUUUCCUCAUCAGCCCAGUUUUGCAGCCUCAAUUGGGGCAUUGUUCAAGAUUCAUUGUUCUGAGCAAGAUGGUUCCGCUCUCCUGGUGAUUCAGAGAGCUACCUAUUAGUUUUUAAAAUAAACUCUUUUUUAUCCUCCCA
This 603-nucleotide long non-coding RNA is filed under the name Homo sapiens (human). RNAcentral describes it as "HSALNT0058539". The record is from RNAcentral. Lineage: Eukaryota; Metazoa; Chordata; Mammalia; Primates; Hominidae.